AUUGAACGCUGGCGGAAUGCUUUACACAUGCAAGUCGAGCGGCAGCACGGGGGCAACCCUGGUGGCGAGCGGCGAACGGGUGAGUAAUACAUCGGAACAUGCCCAGUCGUGGGGGAUAACACUUCGAAAGAAGUGCUAAUACCGCAUACGUCCUGAGGGGGAAAGCGGGGGAUCGCAAGACCUCGCGCGAUUGGAGUGGCCGAUGUCAGAUUAGCUAGUUGGUGGGGUAAAGGCCUACCAAGGCAACGAUCUGUAGCUGGUCUGAGAGGAUGAUCAGCCACACUGGGACUGAGACACGGCCCAGACUCCUACGGGAGGCAGCAGUGGGGAAUUUUGGACAAUGGGGGCAACCCUGAUCCAGCCAUUCCGCGUGAGUGAAGAAGGCCUUCGGGUUGUAAAGCUCUUUCGGCAGGAACGAAACGGUGAGCUCUAACAUAGCUUGCUAAUGACGGUUCCUGAAGAAGAAGCACCGGCUAACUACGUG
RNAcentral lists this ribosomal RNA (484 nucleotides) under uncultured bacterium. RNAcentral describes it as "partial 16S ribosomal RNA". It matches the Rfam family "Bacterial small subunit ribosomal RNA", at positions 30 to 507 of the family's 1533-position model. The record is from RNAcentral.